AUGGCUGAAGGAACUGGUACUGGAAAGAGGAAUUAUGUCACAUGGGAUGAUGAGAUGGACACUGCCAUGCUUGAGGUACUUGUUCAUCAUCACAACAUGGGUGACCAUUCACAAAAUGGAUGGAAAGCACAUGUGUACAGUGCAGCUAUCAAGAAUGUGAAGGAGAAGUGCAAUAAGGAUAUCACGAAGAACAACAUAUUAGGAAGGUUUAGGACUUUUGACAAUCAAUUUGAAAUCAUUAACAAGGUCCUUUCUCAAAGCGGUUUUGGUUGGGAUUGGGUCAAUCAUAAGCUAUCCAUUGAUAGCAACCAUGUGUGGACUAAAUAUUUGGAGGUAACAUCUAUACAUUUCCAUUGUUUUAAUUAUUUUUUUGUAUGUAACAAAACAGGGCAGCAACAUCUAUACUUUGCUCGUUUGCACAUGGAUCCACCAUCGAACGACCAUCUCAUCUCUCCUUCUACCUUAUCUCUUCGGAGAUGA
RNAcentral lists this ribosomal RNA (480 nucleotides) under Triticum aestivum (bread wheat). Its description in RNAcentral is "partial small subunit ribosomal RNA". Lineage: Eukaryota; Viridiplantae; Streptophyta; Magnoliopsida; Poales; Poaceae. The record is from RNAcentral.